Molecule: ribosomal RNA, 253 nt
Filed under: uncultured bacterium
Lineage: Bacteria
Description: partial 16S ribosomal RNA
Rfam family: Bacterial small subunit ribosomal RNA
Source: RNAcentral
UACAGAGGUGGCAAGCGUUGUUCGGAAUUACUGGGCGUAAAGGGCGCGUAGGCGGCCUCGCAAGUCCCGUGUGAAAUCCCUCGGCUCAACUGAGGAAUGGCACGGGAAACUGCGGGGCUUGAGUUCGGGAGAGGGAAGCGGAAUUCCGGGUGUAGCGGUGAAAUGCGUAGAUAUUGGGAAGAACACCGGUGGCGAAGGCGGCGACCUGGUCCAUUACUGACGCUGAGGCGCGACAGCGUGGGGAGCAAACAGG